Molecule: transfer RNA, 66 nt
Filed under: Alloxysta sp. ZJUH_2016001
Lineage: Eukaryota; Metazoa; Arthropoda; Insecta; Hymenoptera; Figitidae
Description: tRNA-Lys
Source: RNAcentral
CAUUAAGUAUCUUAAUCUAAAAGUAAUGAUCUUUUAAAUCAUUUAUAGUAAAUUUACUCUUAAUGA